This 490-nucleotide ribosomal RNA is filed under the name uncultured bacterium. RNAcentral's name for it is "partial 16S ribosomal RNA". It matches the Rfam family "Bacterial small subunit ribosomal RNA", at positions 30 to 507 of the family's 1533-position model. The record is from RNAcentral.
AUUGAACGCUGGCGGCAGGCCCAACACAUGCAAGUCGAACGGUAACAGGAAGAAGCUUGCUUCUUUGCUGACGAGUGGCGGACGGGUGAGUAAUGUCUGGGAAACUGCCUGAUGGAGGGGGAUAACUACUGGAAACGGUAGCUAAUACCGCAUAACGUCGCAAGACCAAAAAGGGGGACCUUCGGGCCUCUUGCCAUCGGAUGUGCCCAGAUGGGAUUAGCUAGUAGGUGGGGUAACGGCUCACCUAGGCGACGAUCCCUAGCUGGUCUGAGAGGAUGACCAGCCACACUGGAACUGAGACACGGUCCAGACUCCUACGGGAGGCAGCAGUGGGGAAUAUUGCACGAUGGGCGCAAGCCUGAUGCAGCCAUGCCGCGUGUAUGAAGAAGGCCUUCGGGUUGUAAAGUACUUUCAGCGGGGAGGAAGGGAGUAAAGUUAAUACCUUUGCUCAUUGACGUUACCCGCAGAAGAAGCACCGGCUAACUCCGUG